This 207-nucleotide ribosomal RNA is filed under the name uncultured bacterium. RNAcentral's name for it is "partial 16S ribosomal RNA". It matches the Rfam family "Bacterial small subunit ribosomal RNA", at positions 568 to 774 of the family's 1533-position model. The record is from RNAcentral.
CGUGUAGGCGGCUUGUCAAGUCCGAUGUGAAAUCUCGUGGCUCAACCACGAAACUGCAUUGGAAACUGGCUUGCUAGAGUCCGGAAGAGGAGAAUGGAAUUCCUGGUGUAGCGGUGAAAUGCGCAGAUAUCAGGAAGAACACCGGUGGCGAAGGCGGUUCUCUGGGACGGUACUGACGCUGAGACGCGAAAGCGUGGGGAGCGAACA